Molecule: non-coding RNA, 73 nt
Organism: Aphanomyces invadans
Lineage: Eukaryota; Oomycota; Saprolegniomycetes; Saprolegniales; Verrucalvaceae
Source: Rfam
GGGAAAAUAGUUCAAUUGGUAGAAUAACAGUCUCCAAAAUUGUUGGUUGUGGGUUCAAGUCCCUCUUUUCUCG